This 686-nucleotide ribosomal RNA is filed under the name Clostridioides difficile. RNAcentral's name for it is "bacterial SSU rRNA". It matches the Rfam family "Bacterial small subunit ribosomal RNA", at positions 1 to 713 of the family's 1533-position model. Lineage: Bacteria; Bacillati; Bacillota; Clostridia; Peptostreptococcales; Peptostreptococcaceae. The record is from RNAcentral.
UUUUAUUUGAGAGUUUGAUCCUGGCUCAGGAUGAACGCUGGCGGCGUGCCUAACACAUGCAAGUUGAGCGAUUUACUUCGGUAAAGAGCGGCGGACGGGUGAGUAACGCGUGGGUAACCUACCCUGUACACACGGAUAACAUACCGAAAGGUAUGCUAAUACGGGAUAAUAUAUUUGAGAGGCAUCUCUUAAAUAUCAAAGGUGAGCCAGUACAGGAUGGACCCGCGUCUGAUUAGCUAGUUGGUAAGGUAACGGCUUACCAAGGCGACGAUCAGUAGCCGACCUGAGAGGGUGAUCGGCCACAUUGGAACUGAGACACGGUCCAAACUCCUACGGGAGGCAGCAGUGGGGAAUAUUGCACAAUGGGCGAAAGCCUGAUGCAGCAACGCCGCGUGAGUGAUGAAGGCCUUCGGGUCGUAAAACUCUGUCCUCAAGGAAGAUAAUGACGGUACUUGAGGAGGAAGCCCCGGCUAACUACGUGCCAGCAGCCGCGGUAAUACGUAGGGGGCUAGCGUUAUCCGGAUUUACUGGGCGUAAAGGGUGCGUAGGCGGUCUUUCAAGUCAGGAGUGAAAGGCUACGGCUCAACCGUAGUAAGCUCUUGAAACUGGGAGACUUGAGUGCAGGAGAGGAGAGUGGAAUUCCUAGUGUAGCGGUGAAAUGCGUAGAUAUUAGGAGGAACACCAGU